RNAcentral lists this ribosomal RNA (480 nucleotides) under uncultured Desulfuromonadales bacterium. Its description in RNAcentral is "bacterial SSU rRNA". It matches the Rfam family "Bacterial small subunit ribosomal RNA", at positions 903 to 1382 of the family's 1533-position model. Lineage: Bacteria; Pseudomonadati; Thermodesulfobacteriota; Desulfuromonadia; Desulfuromonadales. The record is from RNAcentral.
AAAGGAAUUUGACGGGGGCCCGCACAAGCGGUGGAGCAUGUGGUUUAAUUUCGAUGCAACGCGAAGAACCUUACCUAGACUUGACAUCCCGGGAAUCCUUAGGAAACUAAGGAGUGCCUUUCGGGAGCCCGGAGACAGGUGCUGCAUGGCUGUCGUCAGCUCGUGUCGUGAGAUGUUGGGUUAAGUCCCGCAACGAGCGCAACCCUUGUCAUUAGUUGCUACAUUCAGUUGGGCACUCUAAUGAGACUGCCGGUGACAAGCCGGAGGAAGGUGGGGAUGACGUCAAGUCCUCAUGGCCCUUAUAGGUGGGGCUACACACGUCAUACAAUGGCUGGUACAAAGGGUUGCCAACCCGCGAGGGGGAGCUAAUCCCAUAAAGCCAGUCGUAGUCCGGAUCGUAGUCUGCAACUCGACUACGUGAAGUCGGAAUCGCUAGUAAUCGUGGAUCAGAAUGUCACGGUGAAUACGUUCCCGGGUCUU